UCCUCUAGUACACCAUCAGCUCCUAUUCCCUUUUUCCAGAGGAGAGCAGACACUAUGCUGAUUAUUUGCCCCAAUUUAAUGCACCCAUUUUUGGUAAACCUGCAUUCAGUAGUGUCCGAAAUCCAGGAAUACUUCCUCUCAGGGAAGGCCACAGAUGCCAAGCUGGGGAAGGUCUUCUUUGAGGAGCUGCACCUCCUUCUUUGGCAAGCUUCCUCAGCUUCUGUCCUGGCAUGGCAGCAGCCACUGCAGGCUCACACCCAGCUGCCUUUGCCUGCUGGCCUCGCUCAGCCUCCCACCUGAGGCUUCCCAUCGAUAUCCCGAAGGCUGAAUCUUUAAGGGGAAGAAUUUGCUAUUUUAGGAUCUGUCCUUUGGCUUCAGGAAGACAUACAGCAGCCUCUGCUCUGUUUUUAUGAAACACCUUGACUCCAAUAAAAGAUGCCAGGUAGAAUG
Long non-coding RNA from Cyanistes caeruleus (blue tit), 450 nucleotides. RefSeq lists it as uncharacterized. The record is from RefSeq and is a predicted model, not a curated record. NCBI's taxonomy places the organism in Eukaryota, Metazoa, Chordata, Aves, Passeriformes, Paridae.